Molecule: ribosomal RNA, 427 nt
Filed under: uncultured bacterium
Lineage: Bacteria
Description: bacterial SSU rRNA
Rfam family: Bacterial small subunit ribosomal RNA
Source: RNAcentral
UAGGGAAUAUUGGACAAUGGGGGCAACCCUGAUCCAGCCAUGCCGCGUGAGUGAAGAAGGCCCUCGGGUUGUAAAGCUCUUUUGUCCGGAAAGAAAAGCAUUCGGUGAAUACCCGGAUGUUCUGACGGUACCGGAAGAAUAAGCACCGGCUAACUUCGUGCCAGCAGCCGCGGUAAUACGAAGGGUGCAAGCGUUACUCGGAAUUACUGGGCGUAAAGCGUGCGUAGGUGGUCGUUUAAGUCUGAUGUGAAAGCCCUGGGCUCAACCUGGGAAUGGCAUUGGAAACUGGGCAGCUAGAGUGCGGUAGAGGGUAGUGGAAUUCCCGGUGUAGCAGUGAAAUGCGUAGAGAUCGGGAGGAACAUCUGUGGCGAAGGCGACUGCCUGGACCAGCACUGACACUGAGGCACGAAAGCGUGGGGAGCAAACA